GGCUCCGGCCAUAUCAGCCUGAAGGUGCCCGAUCUCGUCUGAUCUCAGAAGCUAAGCAGGGUCGGGCCUGCUUAGUAUCUUAAAAAAAAAAAAAAAAAAAGUUAAUAAAGGUUUGUAGUGUUUUAUUGGGAGAAGGCAAUGGCACCA
Non-coding RNA from Bos taurus (domestic cattle), 147 nucleotides. NCBI's taxonomy places the organism in Eukaryota, Metazoa, Chordata, Mammalia, Artiodactyla, Bovidae. The record is from Rfam.